Molecule: long non-coding RNA, 856 nt
Filed under: Mytilus galloprovincialis (Mediterranean mussel)
Lineage: Eukaryota; Metazoa; Mollusca; Bivalvia; Mytilida; Mytilidae
Source: RNAcentral
GUUUGAGUUUUUGAAUUUGUCAUUUGAUAAGAAACUUUCCCUGUUGAAUAUUGAUUUCCUUGGACUUCGUUAUUUUUUCAUAUUUAACUUUUUUUCUAUGUAAAGGAGAUGACCAUUAACAUUUUUUUUUAUAAAUUUUACAUAAAAUUAUUGUUUCAUUCACAUAUCCUGCAUCUAGAAAUAUGAUGUUUUGAUGAUACCAAGAAAAAUUCCAAAUGCUAUAAAAACUUUUGUAAAAAGCAGUCAGAGUCAGUAUUGCAUUUUUGUCUUUUUUUUAUGUUUCAUUAAGCACUUCAGAUAUACUUACUGCUCUUCCGCCUUCUUGAAGUGUUGGCUGGAGAAGGAAAUCAAAAAUCAGUUUUAAUUAAAAGAUGGUGCGCUUUACCGUUUACCGAUUUGUUAUAACAUAAGCAACACGACGGGUGCAACAUGUGGAGCAGGAUCUGCUUACCCUUCUGGAGCACAUGAGAUCACCCCUAGUUUUUGGUUGGGUUCGUGUUGUUUAUUCUAUAUUUUUCUAUGUUGUGUCAUGUGUACUAUUGUUUGUCUGUUUGUCCUUUUCAUUUUUAGCCAUGGCGUUGUCAGUUUAUUUUCGAUUUAUGAGUCUGACUGUCCCUCUGGUAUCUUUCGUCCCUCUUUUACAGAAAAAAAGUCAAAAAAUUGAAGUAUUUUUUUCACUUAAUAUUUGAUUGCCUCAGUACAACAACUCUUGGGUAAGAGAAAGAAGAACUUUUUUGUCAACCAAAAAUAUAACUAAAUUUUCCAGUUGCGUUUGUCUACCAUUUUCAACGUAUAAAUGUAAAUUUGAUAUUUUAGUAAUUUGGUUUACUCUUAAAUUUACCUUCUCAAAUGAUCC